UAACAAACAUACAUGAAUGAUUUACUUGGUGUUUUUCUCCCUACAGUCCAAAAUGCAGCACGCUGGCUAAUAUUGGAAGAACCAACAUCUAUAAGAAUAAAAAAGAUUAUUAUGAUAUGUAUGAGCCAGAAGGAGUGAAAAUUUUCAGAUGUCCAUCUCCUAUCUACUUUGCAAACAUUGGUUUCUUUAGGCAGAAACUUAUCGAUGCUGUAAGGUUUGGGGUUAUUUAAUUUUUUUCCUUGUAAUCUUACUGAAUUCUGGGAAUGUCAUUGUUCUGUAAGGUCAUUGUUGAGGCUGGGUUGUGUCACAUAUGUUGAGGUGGGGUUGUGUCACAUAUGUUGAGGUGGGGUUGUGUCAGUAUUUUUUGUCCCACGUCCCAGAGCAGAUGAAACUACCUUAUGGGGAGUUUGUUAAUAGGUUGGGAAAUAAGCCUCUUCAGAUGACAUCUAAUAUAGAAGAAUCCUUUUCUCAAAUUCUGAUGUAGAAUAAAAGAAAUUUACCAAGUUUUGGGCUGCUAGCUUUUAGUAGGUGUCAUCCUACAGAUUUUCUUUGGGCAUCAACUUCAGAAACAAUGAAGGAGCAUUUAAUAUUUGACCGCAUCCUCAAAGAGAUUCAGUAUAACAGUUGUAAAUGAAUAGUUAAUACUGAAUAACUAUAAAUACUGAGUGUCC
RNAcentral lists this small RNA (671 nucleotides) under Pan troglodytes (chimpanzee). Its description in RNAcentral is "retained intron". Lineage: Eukaryota; Metazoa; Chordata; Mammalia; Primates; Hominidae. The record is from RNAcentral.